This 419-nucleotide ribosomal RNA is filed under the name bacterium. Its description in RNAcentral is "partial 16S ribosomal RNA". It matches the Rfam family "Bacterial small subunit ribosomal RNA", at positions 355 to 776 of the family's 1533-position model. The record is from RNAcentral.
UGGGGGAUAUUGCACAAUGGGCGAAAGCCUGAUGCAGCGACGCCGCGUGGGGGAUGAAGGCCUUCGGGUUGUAAACUUCUUUUGCUCUGAACAAGGCAUGCUAAUGGGUGUGUUGAGUGUAGGGGUUGAUUAGCGCCGGCUAACUACGUGCCAGCAGCCGCGGUAAUACGUAGGGCGCGAGCGUUGUCCGGAAUUAUUGGGCGUAAAGGGCUUGUAGGUGGCUGGUUGCGUCUGUCGUGAAAGCUCAUGGCUUAACUGUGGGUUUGCGGUGGGUACGGGCUGGCUUGAGUGCAGUAGGGGAGGCUGGAAUUCCUGGUGUAGCGGUGGAAUGCGCAGAUAUCAGGAGGAAUACCGGUGGCAAAGGCGGGUCUCUGGGCUGUUACUGACACUGAGGAGCGAAAGCAUGGGGAGCGAACAGG